GUGGAGCAUGUGGCUUAAUUUGACUCAACGCGGGGAAUCUUACUAGGUCAGGACCGAUUCAUGAUUGUCACCGUUUGUGUCGCCGGUACAAGAUUGUUGGAUGAGUGGUGCAUGGCCGUUCUUAGUUCGUGGCCCGAGUCGUUAGCUUAAUUGCGAUCGAUUCAUCUGCCUCGAGGCGAAGAACGUAAAAACGAACGAGACCGUGGCCUGUAAUUAUUUACGAGUUGCGCGUAAAUUAAAUUACAGGGACAGGGCUAGCUACUACUACACACCAGGAAGGACACGGCAAUAACAGGUCUGUGAUGCCCUCAGAUGUUCUAGGCCGCACACGUGCUACAAUUGAUUCCCCAGUCAAUUAUGUAGUGCGCGUGUUGUGAGAUCCCCCGCGUAGAGUCUAAUUAAGUCACUAGUUGAGAUUACCGAUUGUAAUUAUUCGGUACCGCAACUAGGAAUGCCUCGUACGGUGGGAUCAACGAGUUCCAUUGGAAUCCGUCCCUGCCCUUUGUACACACCGCCCGUCGCUCUUACCGAUGGCGGUGGUUUCGAAUGUUACCGAGCGACGUAGGUUUAAUAUACUCGCGGCGCAACGUAAUGUAAGAAACCACCGCUAAAGGAAAGAGAAGUCGUAACAAGGCAUCG
This 639-nucleotide ribosomal RNA is filed under the name Amphistegina lessonii. RNAcentral's name for it is "SSU rRNA". It matches the Rfam family "Eukaryotic small subunit ribosomal RNA", at positions 1176 to 1804 of the family's 1831-position model. Lineage: Eukaryota; Foraminifera; Rotaliida; Amphisteginidae. The record is from RNAcentral.